This 497-nucleotide ribosomal RNA is filed under the name uncultured bacterium. RNAcentral describes it as "partial 16S ribosomal RNA". It matches the Rfam family "Bacterial small subunit ribosomal RNA", at positions 28 to 507 of the family's 1533-position model. The record is from RNAcentral.
GAUGAACGCUGGCGGCGUGCCUAAUACAUGCAAGUCGAGCGAACGGACGAGAAGCUUGCUUCUCUGAUGUUAGCGGCGGACGGGUGAGUAACACGUGGAUAACCUACCUAUAAGACUGGGAUAACUUCGGGAAACCGGAGCUAAUACCGGAUAAUAUUUUGAACCGCAUGGUUCAAAAGUGAAAGACGGUCUUGCUGUCACUUAUAGAUGGAUCCGCGCUGCAUUAGCUAGUUGGUAAGUUAACGGCUUACCAAGGCAACGAUGCAUAGCCGACCUGAGAGGGUGAUCGGCCACACUGGAACUGAGACACGGUCCAGACUCCUACGGGAGGCAGCAGUAGGGAAUCUUCCGCAAUGGGCGAAAGCCUGACGGAGCAACGCCGCGUGAGUGAUGAAGGUCUUCGGAUCGUAAAACUCUGUUAUUAGGGAAGAACAUAUGUGUAAGUAACUGUGCACAUCUUGACGGUACCUAAUCAGAAAGCCACGGCUAACUACGUA